GCAUCGCUGAGCAGUCCAACAAUAGGACGAAACGGCCGUCCAGUGC
RNAcentral lists this non-coding RNA (46 nucleotides) under Schistosoma curassoni. The record is from RNAcentral. Lineage: Eukaryota; Metazoa; Platyhelminthes; Trematoda; Strigeidida; Schistosomatidae.